RNAcentral lists this ribosomal RNA (492 nucleotides) under uncultured bacterium. Its description in RNAcentral is "partial 16S ribosomal RNA". It matches the Rfam family "Bacterial small subunit ribosomal RNA", at positions 36 to 507 of the family's 1533-position model. The record is from RNAcentral.
CUUUCCCUCUUUCUUUCGGCCUAACACAUGCAAGUCGAGCGGCAGCACAGUAAGAGCUUGCUCUUACGGGUGGCGAGUGGCGGACGGGUGAGGAAUACAUCGGAAUCUACUUUUUCGUGGGGGAUAACGUAGGGAAACUUACGCUAAUACCGCAUACGACCUACGGGUGAAAGCAGGGGAUCUUCGGACCUUGCGCGAUUGAAUGAGCCGAUGUCGGAUUAGCUAGUUGGCGGGGUAAAGGCCCACCAAGGCGACGAUCCGUAGCUGGUCUGAGAGGAUGAUCAGCCACACUGGAACUGAGACACGGUCCAGACUCCUACGGGAGGCAGCAGUGGGGAAUAUUGGACAAUGGGCGCAAGCCUGAUCCAGCCAUACCGCGUGGGUGAAGAAGGCCUUCGGGUUGUAAAGCCCUUUUGUUGGGAAAGAAAAGCAGCAGGUUAAUACCCCGCUGUUCUGACGGUACCCAAAGAAUAAGCACCGGCUAACUUCGUG